RNAcentral lists this long non-coding RNA (576 nucleotides) under Vulpes vulpes (red fox). RNAcentral's name for it is "lncRNA (ENSVVUG00000010119.1)". The record is from RNAcentral. Lineage: Eukaryota; Metazoa; Chordata; Mammalia; Carnivora; Canidae.
AUAACUCUGUACCAUAGAAGGAGAAUUCUGAAUUUGGGAUACAGUUAGCUUUCAAGGUUGCUUUACUGCUUUUCUAGGGCAACACCAUUUUGUCCAAUGGCCCAGAUGCCCAAAUUCCAUCAAAGGAUUGUCUGCUGCUUACCACCAAGCUCAUCUUAUUACUGUUGAAGCACUGAAGCAAUUCCUGCUUCCCGUCAGUGAAUGAAAAUCCCUUGGAGAAGGAAGAGCCCUCUGUUCAUUUGUGACCUCUAUCUGAUGGGCUGAUUUCCUAAAUUUCAAGAUGUACCUAAUGCCCUGACUGCCACACGAAGCGGAAAGCCACAGAUGUCCUCUGAACAAUUAUAUAAAGCACAGUUGCUGGAAGGAAGUAGACCUGAAGUUUACCUGAAGUUUGCAUCCUUUUCAGAUGUGGGAUGUGCAUCUCAGCAUACACUCACAGCCACGCAGAUGUAGGCACAAGUUGUAUUCACAAGGAGAAGAAUGUAAAUGCCUCUUGAAAAUGAAAUGAAUGAAAUGUCUCUUUGAAGAAUGUAAAAAUCUCUUGAAAUUACUUAAUAAUAAGACCAUGUCUCCUAA